UACGGAGGGUGCAAGCGUUAAUCGGAAUUACUGGGCGUAAAGCGCGCGUAGGCGGUGAGGUAAGUCAGAUGUGAAAGCCCCGGGCUUAACCUGGGAACUGCAUUUGAUACUGCCUGACUCGAGUAUGGUAGAGGGGGGUGGAAUUCCCGGAGUAGCGGUGAAAUGCGUAGAUAUCGGGAGGAACACCAGUGGCGAAGGCGGCCCCCUGGAUCGAUACUGACGCUGAGGUGCGAAAGCGUGGGGAGCAAACAGG
RNAcentral lists this ribosomal RNA (253 nucleotides) under uncultured bacterium. Its description in RNAcentral is "partial 16S ribosomal RNA". It matches the Rfam family "Bacterial small subunit ribosomal RNA", at positions 524 to 776 of the family's 1533-position model. The record is from RNAcentral.